Molecule: ribosomal RNA, 305 nt
Filed under: uncultured Marinobacter sp.
Lineage: Bacteria; Pseudomonadati; Pseudomonadota; Gammaproteobacteria; Pseudomonadales; Marinobacteraceae
Description: bacterial SSU rRNA
Rfam family: Bacterial small subunit ribosomal RNA
Source: RNAcentral
UCCCUAGUUGCUAGCAGUUCGGCUGAGAACUCUAGGGAGACUGCCGGUGACAAACCGGAGGAAGGUGGGGAUGACGUCAGGUCAUCAUGGCCCUUACGGCCAGGGCUACACACGUGCUACAAUGGUGCGCACAGAGGGCUGCAAACCCGCGAGGGGGAGCCAAUCUCACAAAACGCAUCGUAGUCCGGAUCGCAGUCUGCAACUCGACUGCGUGAAGUCGGAAUCGCUAGUAAUCGUGAAUCAGAAUGUCGUCGUGAAUACGUUCCAGGGCCUUGUACUCCGCGUCCGUACUAGGGCAGGAUUGC